This 429-nucleotide ribosomal RNA is filed under the name Salmonella enterica subsp. enterica. RNAcentral's name for it is "bacterial SSU rRNA". It matches the Rfam family "Bacterial small subunit ribosomal RNA", at positions 1114 to 1533 of the family's 1533-position model. The record is from RNAcentral. Lineage: Bacteria; Pseudomonadati; Pseudomonadota; Gammaproteobacteria; Enterobacterales; Enterobacteriaceae. RNAcentral also lists the same sequence under 1 other name.
GUUGCCAGCGAUUAGGUCGGGAACUCAAAGGAGACUGCCAGUGAUAAACUGGAGGAAGGUGGGGAUGACGUCAAGUCAUCAUGGCCCUUACGACCAGGGCUACACACGUGCUACAAUGGCGCAUACAAAGAGAAGCGACCUCGCGAGAGCAAGCGGACCUCAUAAAGUGCGUCGUAGUCCGGAUUGGAGUCUGCAACUCGACUCCAUGAAGUCGGAAUCGCUAGUAAUCGUGGAUCAGAAUGCCACGGUGAAUACGUUCCCGGGCCUUGUACACACCGCCCGUCACACCAUGGGAGUGGGUUGCAAAAGAAGUAGGUAGCUUAACCUUCGGGAGGGCGCUUACCACUUUGUGAUUCAUGACUGGGGUGAAGUCGUAACAAGGUAACCGUAGGGGAACCUGCGGUUGGAUCACCUCCUUACCUUAAAGAA